Molecule: ribosomal RNA, 460 nt
Filed under: uncultured bacterium
Lineage: Bacteria
Description: partial 16S ribosomal RNA
Rfam family: Bacterial small subunit ribosomal RNA
Source: RNAcentral
CCUACGGGAGGCAGCAGUGAGGAAUAUUGGUCAAUGGGCGCGAGCCUGAACCAGCCAAGUAGCGUGAAGGAUGACUGCCCUACGGGUUGUAAACUUCUUUUAUAAAGGAAUAAAGUGAGGCACGUGUGCCUUUUUGUAUGUACUUUAUGAAUAAGGAUCGGCUAACUCCGUGCCAGCAGCCGCGGUAAUACGGAGGAUCCGAGCGUUAUCCGGAUUUAUUGGGUUGAAAGGGAGCGUAGAUGGGUUGUUAAGUCAGUUGUGAAAGUUUGCGGCUCAACCGUAAAAUUGCAAUUGAUACUGGCAGCCUUGAGUACAGUAGAGGUAGGCGGAAUUCGUAGUGUAGCGGUGAAAUGCUUAGAUAUCACGAAGAACUCCGAUUGCGAAGGCAGCUUACCGGAGCUCAACUGACGCUGAGGCACGAAAGCGUGGGGAUCAAACAGGAUUAGAUACCCCAGUAGUC